GACGAACGCUGGCGGCGUGCCUAAUACAUGCAAGUAGAACGCUGAAGGAGGAGCUUGCUUCUCUGGAUGAGUUGCGAACGGGUGAGUAACGCGUAGGUAACCUGCCUGGUAGCGGGGGAUAACUAUUGGAAACGAUAGCUAAUACCGCAUAAGAGUAGAUGUCGCAUGACAUUUGCUUAAAAGGUGCAAUUGCAUCACUACCAGAUGGACCUGCGUUGUAUUAGCUAGUUGGUGAGGUAACGGCUCACCAAGGCAACGAUACAUAGCCGACCUGAGAGGGGGAUCGGCCACACUGGGACUGAGACACGGCCCAGACUCCUACGGGAGGCAGCAGUAGGGAAUCUUCGGCAAUGGACGGAAGUCUGACCGAGCAACGCCGCGUGAGUGAAGAAGGUUUUCGGAUCGUAAAGCUCGGUUGUAAGAGAAGAACGAGUGUGAGAGUGGAAAGUUCACACUGUGACGGUAUCUUACCAGAAAGAGACGGCUAACUACGUG
Molecule: ribosomal RNA, 495 nt
Filed under: uncultured bacterium
Lineage: Bacteria
Description: partial 16S ribosomal RNA
Rfam family: Bacterial small subunit ribosomal RNA
Source: RNAcentral